UACGGAGGGUGCAAGCGUUUAUCCGGAUUUACUGGGUUUAAAGGGUGUGUAGGCGGGCUUUUAAGUCAGUGGUGAAAUCUCCGGGCUCAACCUGGAAACUGCCAUUGAUACUAUUAGUCUUGAAUUUUGUUGAGGUAGGCGGAAUAAGUCAUGUAGCGGUGAAAUGCAUAGAUAUACUUAGAACACCAAUUGCGAAGGCAGCUUGCUAAACA
This 212-nucleotide ribosomal RNA is filed under the name uncultured bacterium. RNAcentral's name for it is "partial 16S ribosomal RNA". It matches the Rfam family "Bacterial small subunit ribosomal RNA", at positions 524 to 735 of the family's 1533-position model. The record is from RNAcentral.